CUCCUGCUGUUAAUGAUAGAGGCUUGCAGUUGAAAAUGAGUGAGCAAUUCAUGAAGAAAGGCAAUUAUUUUGAGCAGCAGAUGAAUGACAACCAAAAAGAUGAAGUGAUUUGCGAGAGAAGCAAAACGAUGAAGUGGUCUGCCAGUGAUAUGGCUAACAAGUCUUCAACAACUGCUGUCACUUUUGCUAUAAAUAUAACUGGAGAAAGCACCAUUUUGAAGAACCUCCGCUGACAUGUAGUGACAAACAUCAACACCUCUUUUCAGCAAACAGAUCAAAUGUAGCUAGGUUAGCCUAGAAAUAGAACAAUAUAUUUUUGACAAGCUGUGUCAACAGCAGUUGUAUUGUAUAUUUGCACAUUAUCAGAACAUUCACAUUAAUGGUAAUGUUAGUUGCAAA
Long non-coding RNA from Rosa chinensis, 399 nucleotides. RefSeq lists it as uncharacterized. The record is from RefSeq and is a predicted model, not a curated record. The transcript has 3 exons. NCBI's taxonomy places the organism in Eukaryota, Viridiplantae, Streptophyta, Magnoliopsida, Rosales, Rosaceae.